AGAAUCAACGCUGGCGGCGUGCCUAACACAUGCAAGUCGAACGAGAAAGUGGAGCAAUCCAUGAGUACAGUGGCGCACGGGUGAGUAACACGUGACUAACCUACCCUUGAGUUCGGAAUAACUUCGGGAAACCGAGGCUAAUACCGGAUAAUAUCUACGGAUCAAAGGAGCAGUUCGCUUAAGGAGGGGGUCGCGGCAGAUUAGUUAGUUGGCGGGGUAAUGGCCCACCAAGACGAUGAUCUGUAUCCGGCCUGAGAGGGCGCACGGACACACUGGAACUGAAACACGGUCCAGACUCCUACGGGAGGCAGCAGUGGGGAAUUUUGCGCAAUGGGGGAAACCCUGACGCAGCAACGCCGCGUGGAGGAUGAAAUCCCUUGGGAUGUAAACUCCUUUCGAUCGGGACGAUUAUGACGGUACCGGAAGAAGAGCCCGGCUAACUUCGCGCCAGCAGCCGC
Molecule: ribosomal RNA, 458 nt
Filed under: uncultured bacterium
Lineage: Bacteria
Description: SSU rRNA
Rfam family: Bacterial small subunit ribosomal RNA
Source: RNAcentral